CUCUGCCUCUCCCAAAAGACUCUGCCGCCGCCCCGCUGAGCCCCUGGACGCUGCCGCGCCUGCCGUGGUGGUGGUCUCAGUGAAACACGACCCCCUGCCUCACCUCCUCCCCGAAGCCAAUGGGCACAGAAGCACCACCUCACCCACAGUAGUUUCACCUGCUAUUGUUUCCCCCACACAGAUCCUGAUCUGCUCCAAAAUCCCAGCAAGGCUCAUCAUGCCAAGAAAGUGCAACCAGAUCCUCCGUGGCACUUGAAGCACUGAGCCAGCAUAUGCUCCCAAGAGCUCUUGGGUCCCCUGGAGAAGGCUGUGAGAGCCAGCGUGCUGGAUGUGGAUAGAGGCACCCCUUUCUGCGAGGGGCAGAGUCAGUGCUUCACCCUGGGGCCAGCACCUCUGGGAGCAGGAGGAGGGAGCAGUUAAAACAUUCUCAACAGACCCAGUGGCAGCAGUACAACCCAGCUAUCUCGGAGAGCUACCGGCCAUCAGUAUGAGUGAAGAAGCAGAAGAAAGGGUAUGGAUGCACUCGUGUAUAAAAACUUCUGGCCAAAGCUAAGACUUGUUCUUCGCACUUUGGAGAGUGAAGGUGAAAAGGAAGAGAAGGCACUGAUGGCAUGUGUGUGCCUCAGGAGAAUGAAAUGCAGCUCACAUGCUCCAUGCUGUUGCUGACACGAAGCUGUCUUUGAAGACCUUGUGGGACUCUGAGGGCCCAGCUCACCCCAGCACCUUCACCCUAGUGUCAUUUAUGGCCAUAGUCAGACACUGUUGUGCGGGGAAGUUGCCAGCUGGUAGAGGUGCCUGGAGUUGGGUUUUUCCCUUCCAACAGAACGAGCAUCUGGACUUCCUGUAUGCAUAGCUCUGUAUCUCUGCAUGCUUGUUCCUUCUUCCAGAAGUGGUAUUUGU
Molecule: long non-coding RNA, 900 nt
Filed under: Apteryx rowi (Okarito brown kiwi)
Lineage: Eukaryota; Metazoa; Chordata; Aves; Apterygiformes; Apterygidae
Description: lncRNA (ENSARWG00000010572.1)
Source: RNAcentral